Molecule: ribosomal RNA, 253 nt
Filed under: uncultured bacterium
Lineage: Bacteria
Description: partial 16S ribosomal RNA
Rfam family: Bacterial small subunit ribosomal RNA
Source: RNAcentral
UACGUAGGGUGCAAGCGUUGUCCGGAAUUAUUGGGCGUAAAGAGCUCGUAGGCGGUUUGUCGCGUCUGCUGUGAAAACUCAGGGCUUAACUCUGAGCUUGCAGUGGGUACGGGCAGACUAGAGUGCGGUAGGGGAGACUGGAAUUCCUGGUGUAGCGGUGAAAUGCGCAGAUAUCAGGAGGAACACCGGUGGCGAAGGCGGCGAUCUGGCCCAACACUGACACUGAGACCCGAAAGCAUGGGGAUCAAACAGG